GGUUCUGUGUCCGAGUGGUCAGGAGCUGGUCUGCAAAACCAGUCACGCCGGUUCGAAUCCGGUCGGAACCU
This 71-nucleotide transfer RNA is filed under the name Micromonosporaceae bacterium. Its description in RNAcentral is "tRNA-Cys". It matches the Rfam family "tRNA". From Rfam's summary of the family: Transfer RNA (tRNA) molecules are approximately 80 nucleotides in length. Their secondary structure includes four short double-helical elements and three loops (D, anti-codon, and T loops). The record is from RNAcentral. Lineage: Bacteria; Bacillati; Actinomycetota; Actinomycetes; Micromonosporales; Micromonosporaceae.